RNAcentral lists this long non-coding RNA (438 nucleotides) under Homo sapiens (human). Its description in RNAcentral is "HSALNT0285503". The record is from RNAcentral. Lineage: Eukaryota; Metazoa; Chordata; Mammalia; Primates; Hominidae.
CUAUCACCCUCAGUUGGAAUGUAGGUUCUGAUAAAAGAGAGAACUAGAGAAGGACAGUGAAAUGGGACAACAGACUUGCUCCUUUCAGUUUUGCCUGCUGUUCUUGUCAACAUUACUCUAGGAAUGACCCUUCACUGAAGCAGCAGCAGUGGGUUCCAGUCUUCACCUUCUUUGAGUGCUCCAGAACCAGCCUCCCUGUGUCCCUUAGAUGUACUCAUUUGGGCAGUGUCCCCUCCUCAGAGUUCUGAGGCCCAGCUCUGCCAAUCUUCUGAUACCUCUGUGUUCCCCUUUUUGCUUUUUGAAUUGUCCACUGCCUGUUUAACCAACUCCUUGUAUUAGACUCCAUGUCAAAACACCUAAAAUGAAUUCUAUUUUUCCAUGGAAGUGACUUUUAUUUUUCAGUGUCUUGAAAUCAGAAAUAAAUUGUCUGAAUCGGUU